This 73-nucleotide non-coding RNA is filed under the name Ruminococcus sp. RNAcentral describes it as "c-di-GMP sequence". It matches the Rfam family "c-di-GMP-I riboswitch aptamer". Rfam says of the family: GEMM was predicted in a large-scale screen for bacterial structured RNA regulatory elements. Genes associated with GEMM are involved in a diverse array of functions, including chemotaxis regulation, signal transduction, secretion and chitin. Lineage: Bacteria; Bacillati; Bacillota; Clostridia; Eubacteriales; Oscillospiraceae. The record is from RNAcentral. RNAcentral also lists the same sequence under 1 other name.
UUAAAUAAUGGGCAAAGCAGUCGAAAGGCUGUGACGCAAUAUAGGGCCUGUGAAAUGGCAGCCAGUUGCAGAU